CACGUAGGCACCAAGCGUUGUCCGGAUUUAUUGGGCGUAAAGAGCUCGUAGGCGGUUCGGUAAGUCGGGUGUGAAAACUUUGGGCUCAACCCAAAGCGUGCACUCGAUACUGUCGUGACUAGAGUUCGGUAGGGGAGUGGGGAAUUCCUAGUGUAGCGGUGAAAUGCGCAGAUAUUAGGAGGAACACCGGUGGCGAAGGCGCCACUCUGGGCCGAAACUGACGCUGAGGAGCGAAAGCGUGGGUAGCAAACAGG
RNAcentral lists this ribosomal RNA (254 nucleotides) under uncultured bacterium. RNAcentral's name for it is "partial 16S ribosomal RNA". It matches the Rfam family "Bacterial small subunit ribosomal RNA", at positions 524 to 776 of the family's 1533-position model. The record is from RNAcentral.